AAUGAACGUUGGCGGCAUGGAUUAGGCAUGCAAGUCGAGCGGUAAGGCCCCGCAAGGGGUACACGAGCGGCGUAAGGGACAGUAAUGUGUAGGUACGUACCUCCGGGCCUGGGAUAGCUGCGGGAAACUGCAAUUAAUACCAGAUGAUGUCUCCGGACCAAAGGUGUGAUUCCGCCGGGAGAGCGGCCUACAUCCUAUUAGCUAGUUGGCGGGGUAACGGCCCACCAAGGCUCAGAUGGGUAGCAGGUGUGAGAGCACGACCUGCGUCACUGGGACUGAGACACUGCCCAGACACCUACGGGUGGCUGCAGUCGAGAAUCUUCGGCAAUGAGCGCAAGCUUGACCGAGCAAUGCCGCGUGCGGGAAGAAGGCCUGGUGUAACGCUGUCAGA
Molecule: ribosomal RNA, 391 nt
Filed under: uncultured bacterium
Lineage: Bacteria
Description: bacterial SSU rRNA
Rfam family: Bacterial small subunit ribosomal RNA
Source: RNAcentral